CCUACGGGGGGCUGCAGUCGAGAAUUUUUCACAAUGGGGGAAACCCUGAUGGAGCGACGCCGCGUGGGGGAUGAAUGGCUUCGGCCCGUAAACCCCUGUCAUUUGCGAGCAAAGCGCAUUAUUUAAAAGAUGAUGUGUUGAUAGUAGCGGAAGAGGAAGGGACGGCUAACUCUGUGCCAGCAGCCGCGGUAAUACAGAGGUCCCGAGCGUUGUUCGGAUUCACUGGGCGUAAAGGGUGCGUAGGUGGUGAGGUGUGUCGGAUGUGAAAUCUCGGAGCUCAACUCCGAAACUGCAUUGGAAACUACCUUGCUGGAGGGUUGGAGGGGGGACUGGAAUACUUGGUGUAGCAGUGAAAUGCGUAGAUAUCAAGUGGAACACCAGUGGCGAAGGCGAGUCCCUGGACAACUCCUGACACUGAGGCACGAAAGCUAGGGGAGCAAACAGGAUUAGAUACCCUUGUAGUC
RNAcentral lists this ribosomal RNA (464 nucleotides) under uncultured Verrucomicrobiota bacterium. RNAcentral's name for it is "bacterial SSU rRNA". It matches the Rfam family "Bacterial small subunit ribosomal RNA", at positions 338 to 795 of the family's 1533-position model. Lineage: Bacteria; Pseudomonadati; Verrucomicrobiota. The record is from RNAcentral.